GACGGGUAGCCGGCCUGAGAGGGCGACCGGCCACACUGGGACUGAGACACGGCCCAGACUCCUACGGGAGGCAGCAGUGGGGAAUAUUGCACAAUGGGCGAAAGCCUGAUGCAGCGACGCCGCGUGAGGGAUGACGGCCUUCGGGUUGUAAACCUCUUUCAGCAGGGAAGAAGCGCAAGUGACGGUACCUGCAGAAGAAGCGCCGGCUAACUACGUGCCAGCAGCCGCGGUAAUACGUAGGGCGCAAGCGUUGUCCGGAAUUAUUGGGCGUAAAGAGCUCGUAGGCGGCUUGUCACGUCGGAUGUGAAAGCCCGGGGCUUAACCCCGGGUCUGCAUUCGAUACGGGCUAGCUAGAGUGUGGUAGGGGAGAUCGGAAUUCCUGGUGUAGCGGUGAAAUGCGCAGAUAUCAGGAGGAACACCGGUGGCGAAGGCGGAUCUCUGGGCCAUUACUGACGCUGAGGAGCGAAAGCGUGGGGAGCGAACAGGAUUAGAUACCCUGGUAGUCCACGCCGUAAACGUUGGGAACUAGGUGUUGGCGACAUUCCACGUCGUCGGUGCCGCAGCUAACGCAUUAAGUUC
RNAcentral lists this ribosomal RNA (579 nucleotides) under Streptomyces sp. RFP7. RNAcentral's name for it is "bacterial SSU rRNA". It matches the Rfam family "Bacterial small subunit ribosomal RNA", at positions 278 to 867 of the family's 1533-position model. The record is from RNAcentral. Lineage: Bacteria; Bacillati; Actinomycetota; Actinomycetes; Kitasatosporales; Streptomycetaceae.